GCUUGCAGGCUCAAAGGGAGGGCGGCAUGUGUUGAACGGAACUUCAUAUCGGGGUGAUCUGGGCCAGGGUCUCUGGUUGCUGACUGGGAGAAGAGGCCAAGGUGUCUCAGGAUCCAGACGUGGAUGCUUCCUGAAUCUCCAUUUUCGCCCCCCAGUACAUAGUUGUAUAUUCUUCUUUGUGGAUCCUUCUAGUUGUGGCAUGUGGGACGCUGCCUCAGCGUGGUCUGAUGAGCAGUGCCAUGUCCGUGCCCAGGAUUCGAACUAAUGAAACACUGGGCUGCCUGCAGCGGAGCGCACGAACUUAACCACUCGGCCACGGGGCCAGCCCCUGGUGUCCUCUGUUUUAAUCUCUCCUGAGAAUAAACCCCCCGGCUCUCACCAGGCUGACGAGGAACAGAGAGCAGCUGCAGAGUGCGGAGGAGAGCUGAGGUCCAAUUACUUACUCUCAACCGAUAGACCUAUUUUCAGCCUCUCUCCUCUCCACUUCCCUGCUUCCACAGGCGCCAGGUGCUGCUCCUACCUGCGCCAGCUGGGCAUCCUGCGGUGUAAAUGCGAGUGAGCGUCAACUUUCCCUGCUGCAGACUUGAGAUUCUAGUUUGGGGGGGUUGCUAAGCCCUUCAUCUCCCUGUUUUCUAUCUCCAAAAUCUUGCUACUAUUGCCUCCCUUCCUUUUUCUGUCCAUCCUUUAUGACAAUUGCUUCACUGUUGUUUUAGUGGGGUUGUGAGAAGGA
This 730-nucleotide long non-coding RNA is filed under the name Equus asinus (donkey). Its description in RNAcentral is "lncRNA (ENSEASG00005027389.1)". Lineage: Eukaryota; Metazoa; Chordata; Mammalia; Perissodactyla; Equidae. The record is from RNAcentral.